Molecule: ribosomal RNA, 468 nt
Filed under: uncultured bacterium
Lineage: Bacteria
Description: partial 16S ribosomal RNA
Rfam family: Bacterial small subunit ribosomal RNA
Source: RNAcentral
GACGAACGCUGGCGGCGUGCUUAACACAUGCAAGUCGAACGGAAAGGCCCUGCUUGUGUGGGGGGCUCGAGUGGCGAACGGGUGAGUAACACGUGAGUAACCUGCCCUUGACUUUGGGAUAACUUCAGGAAACUGGGGCUAAUACCGGAUAGGCGCUCCUGCCGCGUGGUGGGGUUUGGAAAGUUUCGGCGGUUGGGGAUGGACUCGCGGCUUAUCAGCUUGUUGGUGGGGUAGUGGCUUACCAAGGCUUUGACGGGUAGCCGGCCUGAGAGGGUGACCGGCCACAUUGGGACUGAGAUACGGCCCAGACUCCUACGGGAGGCAGCAGUGGGGAAUAUUGCACAAUGGGCGGAAGCCUGAUGCAGCGACGCCGCGUGCGGGAUGACGGCCUUCGGGUUGUAAACCGCUUUCGGCUGUGACGAAGCGUGAGUGACGGUAAUGGGUAAAGAAGCACCGGCUAACUACGUG